This 1304-nucleotide ribosomal RNA is filed under the name Samsoniella hepiali. Its description in RNAcentral is "partial large subunit ribosomal RNA". It matches the Rfam family "Eukaryotic large subunit ribosomal RNA", at positions 75 to 1411 of the family's 3401-position model. Lineage: Eukaryota; Fungi; Ascomycota; Sordariomycetes; Hypocreales; Cordycipitaceae. The record is from RNAcentral.
UUGCCCCAGUAACGGCGAGUGAAGCGGCAACAGCUCAAAUUUGAAAUCUGGCCUCCGGGUCCGAGUUGUAAUUUGUAGAGGAUGCUUUUGGCGAGGUGCCUUCCGAGUUCCCUGGAACGGGACGCCAUAGAGGGUGAGAGCCCCGUCUGGUCGGACACCGAGCCUCUGUAAAGCUCCUUCGACGAGUCGAGUAGUUUGGGAAUGCUGCUCAAAAUGGGAGGUAUAUGUCUUCUAAAGCUAAAUAUUGGCCAGAGACCGAUAGCGCACAAGUAGAGUGAUCGAAAGAUGAAAAGCACUUUGAAAAGAGGGUUAAAAAGUACGUGAAAUUGUUGAAAGGGAAGCGCCUAUGACCAGACUUGGGCCCGGUGAAUCAUCCAGCGUUCUCGCUGGUGCACUUUGCCGGGCACAGGCCAGCAUCAGUUUGGCGCGGGGGAAAAAGGUUUUGGGAAUGUGGCUCCCUCGGGAGUGUUAUAGCCCAUUGCGUAAUACCCUGCGCCGGACUGAGGUACGCGCAUCGCAAGGAUGCUGGCGUAAUGGUCAUCAGCGACCCGUCUUGAAACACGGACCAAGGAGUCGUCUUCGUAUGCGAGUGUUCGGGUGUCAAACCCCUACGCGUAAUGAAAGUGAACGCAGGUGAGAGCUUCGGCGCAUCAUCGACCGAUCCUGAUGUUCUCGGAUGGAUUUGAGUAAGAGCAUACGGGGCCGGACCCGAAAGAAGGUGAACUAUGCCUGUAUAGGGUGAAGCCAGAGGAAACUCUGGUGGAGGCUCGCAGCGGUUCUGACGUGCGAAUCGAUCGUCAAAUAUGGGCAUGGGGGCGAAAGACUAAUCGAACCUUCUAGUAGCUGGUUUCCGCCGAAGUUUCCCUCAGGAUAGCAGUGUUGAACUCAGUUUUAUGAGGUAAAGCGAAUGAUUAGGGACUCGGGGGCGCUAUAUUGCCUUCAUCCAUUCUCAAACUUUAAAUAUGUAAGAAGCCCUUGUUACUUAAUUGAACGUGGGCAUUCGAAUGUAUCAACACUAGUGGGCCAUUUUUGGUAAGCAGAACUGGCGAUGCGGGAUGAACCGAACGCGAGGUUAAGGUGCCGGAGUGGACGCUCAUCAGACACCACAAAAGGUGUUAGUACAUCUUGACAGCAGGACGGUGGCCAUGGAAGUCGGAAUCCGCUAAGGACUGUGUAACAACUCACCUGCCGAAUGUACUAGCCCUGAAAAUGGAUGGCGCUCAAGCGUCCCACCCAUACCUCGCCCUCAGGGUAGAAACGAAGCCCUGAGGAGUAGGCGGACGUGGAGGUCAGUGACGAAGCCU